AUACGGAGGGUGCAAGCGUUGUUCGGAAUUACUGGGCGUAAAGCGCACGUAGGCGGCCGCGUAUGUCGAGCGUGAAAGCCCCGGGCUCAACCCGGGAAGUGCGUUCGAAACUGCGUGGCUUGAGUGUGGGAGAGGAAGGUGGAAUUCCCGGUGUAGAGGUGAAAUUCGUAGAUAUCGGGAGGAACACCCGUGGCGAAAGCGACCUUCUGGACCAACACUGACGCUGAGGUGCGAAAGCGUGGGGAGCAAACAGGAUUAGAAACCCCGGUAGUCC
Molecule: ribosomal RNA, 274 nt
Filed under: uncultured bacterium
Lineage: Bacteria
Description: partial 16S ribosomal RNA
Rfam family: Bacterial small subunit ribosomal RNA
Source: RNAcentral